CGCACAUUGCGCCCUUUGGUAUUCCGAGGGGCACGCCUGUUCGAGCGUCAUUUAAACCAUCAAGCGCUGCUUGGUCUUGGGGCGCGGUCGAGUGACCCGUCUGCAACUGGUCGGCGGUACUGUCCGGCUUUAAGCGUAGCUGAAUAAUCACGCUUUAGGAGCUUGCGGCAGUGCCUGCUAGGUAACAGCCACCUAGAGUUUGACCUCGGAUCAGGUGGGGAUACCCGCUGAACUUAA
RNAcentral lists this unclassified non-coding RNA (237 nucleotides) under Dothideomycetes sp. RNAcentral's name for it is "partial contains 5.8S ribosomal RNA, internal transcribed spacer 2, and large subunit ribosomal RNA". The record is from RNAcentral. Lineage: Eukaryota; Fungi; Ascomycota; Dothideomycetes.